CCUUAUCAAGAGAGGCGGAGGGUACAGGCCCGAUGAAGCCCGGCAACCUGCGGCGAUGCAGCCGAAAGGUGCCAAUUCCUGCGGCAUGGAGCCGGCAGAUGAGG
Molecule: non-coding RNA, 104 nt
Filed under: human gut metagenome
Description: SAM riboswitch (S box leader)
Rfam family: SAM riboswitch aptamer (S box leader)
About the family: The SAM riboswitch is found upstream of a number of genes which code for proteins involved in methionine or cysteine biosynthesis in Gram-positive bacteria. The SAM riboswitch acts at the level of transcription termination control.
Source: RNAcentral